RNAcentral lists this ribosomal RNA (512 nucleotides) under uncultured Hanseniaspora. Its description in RNAcentral is "eukaryotic LSU rRNA". It matches the Rfam family "Eukaryotic large subunit ribosomal RNA", at positions 62 to 573 of the family's 3401-position model. The record is from RNAcentral. Lineage: Eukaryota; Fungi; Ascomycota; Saccharomycetes; Saccharomycodales; Saccharomycodaceae.
AAACCAACUGGGAUUACCUUAGUAACGGCGAGUGAAGCGGUAAAAGCUCAAAUUUGAAAUCUGGUACUUUCAGUGCCCGAGUUGUAAUUUGUAGAAUUUGUCUUUGAUUAGGUCCUUGUCUAUGUUCCUUGGAACAGGACGUCAUAGAGGGUGAGAAUCCCGUUUGGCGAGGAUACCUUUUCUCUGUAAGACUUUUUCGAAGAGUCGAGUUGUUUGGGAAUGCAGCUCAAAGUGGGUGGUAAAUUCCAUCUAAAGCUAAAUAUUGGCGAGAGACCGAUAGCGAACAAGUACAGUGAUGGAAAGAUGAAAAGAACUUUGAAAAGAGAGUGAAAAAGUACGUGAAAUUGUUGAAAGGGAAGGGCAUUUGAUCAGACAUGGUGUUUUUGCAUGCACUCGCCUCUCGUGGGCUUGGGCCUCUCAAAAAUUUCACUGGGCCAACAUCAAUUCUGGCAGCAGGAUAAAUCAUUAAGAACGUAGCUACCUCGGUAGUGUUAUAGCUUUUUGGAAUACUG